This 221-nucleotide long non-coding RNA is filed under the name Nicotiana benthamiana. RNAcentral describes it as "long non-coding RNA (NBEN_LNC030513)". Lineage: Eukaryota; Viridiplantae; Streptophyta; Magnoliopsida; Solanales; Solanaceae. The record is from RNAcentral.
AGACACUGCCUACAACAUAUUACUUCAAGAUGAAAGACAAAGACAGGUCAGCCGUGUGUCAUCACAAUUUGGUGGUGAAUCUAGUGCCUUCAACACUCACUUCAUCAAUAAACCUCCCACUAAAACCCCUGCACCAUAUCCACAUUCCAAGCAAUUUAACCAAAAACUCAACUUUGACACCACAAAGCCAAACAUUACAUGUAGAUACUGUAAGAAACCAG